GCCAUCAACACGCCAAGAUGGCGGCCCUCACGCCGCCCGCCCGCCCGUGCUGCGUCACGCCGCCCCCGGCCCCGCCGCGCGCCCGCAGGUUUCCUGGCGGUUCGGCUGAAGUCGGGGCGGAGGACGCGUCGGUUCCCUCCCAGCGCUCCGCAGCGGCCUCAGGUACCGACCGCGUCUGGGGAGCGCGCUGUGAGCCCCCGAGCGCGGCUCUGCGGCCGGAGGCAGUUCGGCGGGGUACCGCAGGACCCCCGAGCGGGGAGAGGGCCCUGCAGGGCUGUCAGCAGGGAGGGGUGAAACGGGGCUGGGAAUGGGCGCCUUUAAAAGCGUACGGAAACACAGAGCCCUUGAACCAAAUCCGUGGACGGAGGCGUGUGCUGGGUGCUGGGCGCUGGGUGCUGGGCUCUGGGCUCGUGCAGGCUGCUGUUUCGAAAGAAGGGAGGGCCCUUGGGAUGAUGACAGGAGCUUAGCAGUGUGUCUGUGCACACCUGUUUGCAUCCAGCCUGUGUACGUGCAGCCCGACCGAGGCGACGUGGAGAGCAGCGUGCGCUGCGGGCCGCGUUUCUGUUGGAGUGAAGGUGAGCUCCUCUCCGGAGAAGACGGCAUCAGCCGCGAGCGUUGGUGCGAUCAGAGUGCAGCGGGCUCUGUGCCGGGGCGCUGGGGAGGGGCAGCUCCCCUUUGCUGCCCUGCUUCUCCUCCCUUCGCACGGCGCAACAGCAGCUGCUGGAGCACGGGGUGAAAUCCUGGAGCCGAUGAGCUGCAGAACAGCAGUGGUUCUCCAGUCGCUUUGGCCUCUGAAAUGUAGGAUUCCUCUUUGUACAUCCAUCCCAUUCCGCUGACAAUCGGUGGAGUUUUACUGCUGGGAUGAUAGCGGUAACAUAAAAGCAUUUCAGAGGGAGAUCGGAUGGGUCUCUUCUUGCUUCCCUUCCAGAAGCCGUGGCUGUGUGCACAGGAUUCCCUAAGGUUGGCUUUUUAACCGAGUUGUGUUUGUUGUUCCUGCAGCAGCAGAUGAUGUAACGACGUACAGAGGAUGGUAAACCUGCACGUUUUAGACUAUAUGUUUAAGUCAUCUGUGUCAUCAUCUGACAUCAGCAUUGCAUAAUCUGUUGACUGUCCCCUUUUUAUGUAAUUUAGAAACUUGUAAGACACCAUUUUGGUAGCCGGGUCCAUCCGAGUGCUACAUCUUCCUCUUUUAGGAGCGGUCUCCAUGGCAGCUCUGGAUGUGCCCUUUCCAGGUAAGCGGGCUGCUCGCAGCCCCGACCCACACCUGGAGUUUCUGCUCCUCCUGUAUGAAGCACAGGGAUGUCUUGUACCGAUGAAGUCCAUCAGCAUCAUAAACGAAGCUUUUGUGAUAUACCAGAAGCAAAUGGAUUUUUCCACGUUUCUUUUUCGAUUUGCUUAUUUCAGAGCUCAGCGUAUGUUUCCCUCAGGCAGAGGUGUCCCACGAUCUUUUCAGCAAUCCCCAUUUAAAACAACAAAAAAAAAUGGGGGGGAGGGGAUACAGGUAGACACAAGUUAAACUUGCUCGCAGUACACUUGUUUAUCUCACAAUGUUAUGUUUGGAUCUUACCACCUAAAAGCACCGGCUGCAUAGGGAAGCAUCUAGAGACUGGAGGCACCUCUCCUGCCUAUUCCAGCUGGGGUCUCUCAGCACAGCUGGCUGCUCGCCGUUCGGUGCUGCUCCGUCAGACCCAUCAGCAGGCAUAGGAGUGGAUAUCUGCCAUCCCAGCUCUCUGAGCACAUGUGACCAGCUCUGAUUAAGCCCAGCUGAAUGUGUUUGCGGCGCUGUAAAAUUCCACCUCCCGCCAGCCUGCUCUGCUGCCUGGGUGAGAGCCUGGCCUGCUCGGUGCAGUGUGCAGCCUGGGCGCGGUGUGGUGCUGCCCUCGUACUCGUGCUGUGAGCAGUCCCAGCCCUUAGCUGUUGUACGCAGUGUGGCACCGUGAACUCACCUGGCCCUCGGCCAGGUGUACAUGCUGUCUGGUUCAUGGCAUUCAGCACUUGAGUAACAGAAAACAAAUGCUGCCUUCGAGCUCUGAUGAAUUUAAGGAGAAGAGGGGGAUGCCUUCAUUCUCUCCGGCGUUAUUUGUAGAGGGAUACGUUAACAUUUCUCCCUUUAGUGUAGCACUGGUGAGUUGGAUUUUUAAGGGUGAUUCAGCCAGAAGUUACCAGGGCUGUUGUGUUAGCACUGUGAUCACCAUGAUUUCCUGCACUGAAGCCCCACAUGCAAAGCACUUCUGUGAGAUGUUCCUGAGCCUCUCGCCUGGCAGCCAGGGAACCCAUCGGGGUGAUCCGAGGUUCUGAGACAUGCAAGGGAUGGGGAAUGGAAAGCACCUGCUGGGCCUGGCAGCAUUGCGGAGGGGCCACGAUGACUGACAGGCUGCCCUGGCUCAGUUAUCACAGUGCUGAUGCUGUCUCUUGUAAAGGUACAGUACUGUGAUAACUGAAGGAUGGCAGCCAUCUGAGCUUCAGAGGCCCUUGGUCUGCAGCUGAUGGAUGGGCGUUCAGCACAGCAUCCUGCUGAGGUGGGUGUCCUCAUUCUAAACGUAGUCCUAAUGUAAAAGUCAAGAAAAGGUUUACUUCAAUAAAGAUUACACUUUAUUGACA
This is an RNA transcript of Gallus gallus (chicken), 2601 nucleotides long. RefSeq lists it as uncharacterized. The record is from RefSeq and is a predicted model, not a curated record. Lineage: Eukaryota; Metazoa; Chordata; Aves; Galliformes; Phasianidae. The transcript has 3 exons.